This is a long non-coding RNA of Phacochoerus africanus (Common warthog), 1607 nucleotides long. RefSeq lists it as uncharacterized. The transcript is spliced from 4 exons. The record is from RefSeq and is a predicted model, not a curated record. NCBI's taxonomy places the organism in Eukaryota, Metazoa, Chordata, Mammalia, Artiodactyla, Suidae.
UUCGCCGCUGAAGGCCCCUCGCCCAGAGGAAAGGGAAGUAGGAGACAUUGAGGGGGUGGCCAGCGAUGCGGGUGUCUCCACGAGGGAGCCGCGCAAAGACGGGUGUGGUUUCCAAACCAAAGAGCUCUGCAGCCAGAGCAGAGCAGAGGGGGCCCAUGACGAAGAAGCUCAAGCUCUCCUCAACAUGCCACCAGGCUCACCAGGGCCUCAGACUUAGAAGGAGGAAGGAAGCCAUCUCCCGAGCCACUUUCAGACCUCUUUCCUGAGAUGUUGGGCCAUCGUGAUAAAAAGGGGAACGUGCAUGGUGUUUGGGAGUAACGCCUAGUCAUGAAGACCAUCCUUCACUUGGAAGCCCAAACAGCUGUCCUGUUGGCCGUACUUUAUUGCCUCAACUCACCUUGUCCUGAGUGCACCUCCUCUCACAAGUUCACCGGAAUCACAACUCUCUGCAGAACAACCACAGAUGAAAAAGAGUGGAACCAACCAGAAAAGAUCUUCGACAACUAAAGACAUAAAGAAGGAGCCACAAUAAGAUGGACAGAAAGGAAGACUGAUUCAGUGGCCACACAUGGUGAAACAGGGCUUCUGGAAAAAUAAUUUGAACACAGUAGACUCAGGAAGAAUGGGGCUUGAUGUUUGGAAGGGGACUCCUUCUGGAAAGGAUUGCAUCUUUCAGUAUGGAGCGAGGAAGACUGGGUGCCCGGAAACACUCAGGUCAUUUGUUGACAGGACUUCAGAUGUAGAGAAGCUAAGAGCUGUGGUUUACCCCCAUUUGGGUCCAGUGCCAUUUGCUGCAGAGAAGCCGGGAAUGGGCCUUGGAGUCCACAGUCAUCUGAUAGCCUAUGCAAAAAUGUACCUGUGUGCUCUCAGGAUACCCUGGAUGUCAUGCCUGUCAAAGUCUCUGUUCUCACAAGCAACCUACCCCCUGGGUUGUCCACUUAGGAGCUGGUGGGGGUCCAGAAGCCAGUGCUUUGGCAGGAAUAUCCACCUAAUCUGAAGUUUCAAGAGAUUUUUAUAGACAAAAACUUCUACCUUCUCAAAAAAAGACUCCUGAUCCAACAAGAUGUUCCCAUUGCUCUCUGAUCUCUGGCACCUCAGGACAAGGGAUCAGGAUCUGGAUUUCUUCAAGGCAUUCCCCUGAGACCUACAGAAAGCUUCUGGUCCCAUGAAUACUGCCUGAUGACCAUCUUUAGAGUAGGCAGAAAAUCAAACAAAAAACUAAAACAAUGUAGCAACCAGAAUGGCUCUUUGAUAAUACAUUGUAAGUCAACUAUAUGCCAAUAUAAUUUUUUUUAAAGUGGCUAUUUGGCUUUUGGAGCCAUAAUGAAUAUGUAGAUCCUGGACCAGAUUAGGGGUUUAUGCUUUCACAGAUACUUCAGGGGAGGUCCUCCUUCUGAAAAGACUGGACCCAUGUUGGAAGACUCCUACUGAAGCAACUCCUACUCAAGCAACUUCUCAAAUGGGAGCCAGCUGCAUUCAAGGGUGUAGAACCAACUGCUAUUUGGGAAGAAUCCUGUGCUUCUAUAAAUUGUUACUUCUCUAAGGCAUAAAGAGAAAGGCAUACUGUAUGAUAGCACUUAUAUCUGGAACCUAAUAUAUGGCACAAA